RNAcentral lists this unclassified non-coding RNA (20 nucleotides) under Mus musculus (house mouse). Its description in RNAcentral is "oocyte_clustered_small_RNA8931". Lineage: Eukaryota; Metazoa; Chordata; Mammalia; Rodentia; Muridae. The record is from RNAcentral.
GAGAUCCUCGACGUCUCCCU